This 253-nucleotide ribosomal RNA is filed under the name uncultured bacterium. Its description in RNAcentral is "partial 16S ribosomal RNA". It matches the Rfam family "Bacterial small subunit ribosomal RNA", at positions 524 to 776 of the family's 1533-position model. The record is from RNAcentral.
UACGUAGGGUGCAAGCGUUGUCCGGAAUUAUUGGGCGUAAAGAGCUCGUAGGCGGCCUGUCGCGUCUGCUGUGAAAUCCCGGGGCUUAACCCCGGGCGUGCAGUGGAUACGGGCUGGCUGGAGGCAGGCAGGGGUGAACGGAAUUCCCGGUGUAGCGGUGAAAUGCGCAGAUAUCUGGAGGAACACCGGUGGCGAAGGCGGCAUCCUGGACCAACACUGACGCUGAGGAGCGAAAGCCAGGGGAGCAAACGGG